RNAcentral lists this long non-coding RNA (5446 nucleotides) under Cucumis sativus (cucumber). RNAcentral's name for it is "long non-coding RNA (CSAT_LNC002996)". Lineage: Eukaryota; Viridiplantae; Streptophyta; Magnoliopsida; Cucurbitales; Cucurbitaceae. The record is from RNAcentral.
CUGGAUCGAGCAGUCAGGAAGAGAGACCUCCACAGCGGGGUACAAUCUUUGCCACUAAUAGAUCAGAGGCAGAGAAGGCCGGCACAGUAGUGACAGGUACAUUACCAGUGUUAGGGCAUUUUGCCUUGACCUUGUUUGACUCGGGAUCUUCUCAUUCAUUUAUUUCAUCGCUUUUUGUGACGCAUGCAUGCUUAGAGGUGGAACCCUUAGACUAUGUUUUGUCAGUGUCUACACCGUCUGGAGAAAUUAUGUUGUCUAAGGAAAAGAUUAAAGCAUGUGAAAUUGAGAUAGCUGGUCGUGUGCUGGACGUAACCUUGUUGGUAUUAGAUAUGCGUGACUUUGAUGUAAUUUUAGGUAUGGAUUGGCUAGCUACUAAUCAUGCUAGUAUUGAUUGUUCUCGUAAGGAAGUUGUGUUCAGUCCCCCUACUGCAUCUAGCUUUAAAUUCAAGGGGUAGGAACAGUAGUACUGCCUAAAGUAAUCUCAGCUAUGAAAGCUAGUAAACUACUCAACCAGGGUACUUGGAGUAUUUUGGCAAGUGUGGUAGAUACUAGGGAAGGUGAGACUUCUUUAACUUCCGAACCUGUGGUAAGAGACUACCCAGAUGUAUUUCCAAAAGAUCUUCCAGGACUACCGCCACAUAGAGAGGUUGAUUUUGCCAUUGAGUUGGAGCCAAAUACUACUCCUAUUUCUAGAGCCCCUUAUAGGAUGGCUCCUGCUGAGUUGAAAGAACUGAAGGUACAGUUACAGGAAUUGCUUGACAAAGGCUUUAUUCGACCUAGUGUGUCACCUUUGGGGUGCACCAGUAUUGUUUGUGAAGAAGAAGGAUGGGUCGAUGCGUCUUUGCAUUGACUAUAGAGAGUUGAAUAAAGUAACAGUCAAGAACAGAUAUCCUUUACCCAUAAUCGAUGAUUUGUUCGAUCAGUUACAGGGAGCCACGGUGUUCUCUAAGAUUGACUUACGGUCAGGUUAUCACCAUUUGAGGAUUAGAGACCGUGAUAUUCCUAAGACUGCUUUUCGUUCGAGGUAUGGACAUUAUGAAUUCAUAGUAAUGUCUUUUGGUUUGACUAAUGCACCUGCUGUAUUUAUGGAUUUGAUGAACAGGGUGUUUAAGGAUUUCUUGGACACUUUUGUGAUAGUCUUCAUUGAUGAUAUUUUGGUUUAUUCCAAGACUGAAGCCGAACAUGAGGAACACUUACAUAAGGUGUUAGAGACUCUUCGAGUCAAUAAACUGUAUGCUAAGUUCUCUAAGUGCGAAUUUUGGUUGAAGCAGGUGGCUUUUCUUGAUCAUGUGGUUUCCAGUGAGGGAGUUUCAGUAGACCCAGCAAAGAUAGAAGCGGUUACCAGUUGGUCUCGACCCUCUACAGUUAGUGAGGUUCGUAGUUUUCUGGGUUUAGCAGGGUACUACCGGAGGUUUGUGGAGGAUUUUUCACGUUUGGCUACUCCUUUGACUCAGUUGACAAGGAAGGGAACUCCGUUUGUUUGGAGUCCAGCUUGCGAGGACAGUUUUCAGAACUUAAAGCAAAGGUUAGUUACUGCACCGGUCCUUACUGUACAAGAUGGAUCUGGAAGUUUUGUGAUUUACAGUGAUGCUUCCAAGAAAGGACUAGGUUGUGUUUUGAUGCAGAAAGGUAAGGUGGUUGCUUAUGCUUCUCGUCAGUUGAAGAGUCACGAGCAGAACUACCCCACACAUGAUUUGGAGUUGGCAGCAGUGGUUUUUGCAUUGAAGAUAUGGAGACAUUACUUGUACGGUGAAAAGAUACAAAUCUUUACUGACCAUAAGAGCCUAAAGUACUUCUUCACUUAGAAGGAGUUGAAUAUGAGACAGCGAAGGUGGCUCGAGUUGGUAAAAGAUUAUGACUGUGAGAUAUUGUACCAUCCUGGUAAGGCGAAUGUGGUGGCUGAUGCUCUUAGUAGAAAAGUAUCACAUUCGGCAGCACUCAUUACUAGACAGGUACCAUUGCAUCGAGACUUGGAGAGAGCUGAGAUUGCAGUGUCUGUGGGGAGAGUCACCUCACAGCUGGCUCAAUUAACGGUGCAACCGACUCUGAGGCAGAAAAUUGUUGAUGCUCAGAGUAGUGAUCCUUAUUUGAUGGAGAGACGUCGCCUUGUUGAAACAGGGCAGAUUGAUGAGUUCUCCAUAUCCUCUGAUGGUGGGUUGAUGUUUGAAAGACGUUUGUGUGUGCCAGCGAACAGUACAGUUAAGAUUGACUUACUAGAUGAAGCCCAUAAUUCCCCAUUUUCAAUGCAUCCUGGUAGCACGAAAAUGUAUCAGGAUUUAAAACGAUUUUACUGGUGGCGGAAUAUGAAAAGGGAAGUGGCGGAAUUUGUUAGUAAGUGUCUAGUAUGUCAGCAAGUUAAGGCACCUAGACAGAAACCAGCAGGUUUGUUACAACCCUUAAGUGUGCCAGAGUGGAAGUGGGAGAAUGUGUCGAUGGAUUUUAUUUCAGGGCUGCCUAAGACCCUGAAGGGUUUCACAGUGAUUCUGGUUGUCAUAGACAGGCUUACGAAAUCGGCACAUUUUGUACCAGGAAAAUCCACUUAUACUGCUAGUAAGUGGGCAGAGUUGUAUUUAACUGAGAUUGUGAGACUGCAUGCAGUACCUGUAUCGAUUGUUUCUGAUAGGGAUGCACGGUUUACUUCCAAGUUUUGGAAGGGACUUCAGACUGCUAUGGGUACGAGAUUGGAUUUUAGUACAGCCUUUCAUCCACAGACUGAUGGUCAAACUGAACGUUUGAACCAAGUUUUAGAGGAUAUGCUACGAGCUUGUGUUAUAGAGUUUCCAGGUAGUUGGGACUCUCAUCUACAUUUGAUGGAGUUUGCUUAUAACAACAGUUUCCAGGCUACCAUCGGUAUGGCACCAUUUCAGGCUUUGUAUGGCAAAUGUUGUAGAACCCCUGUUUGUUGGAGUGAGGUUGGUGAACAUAGAUUGAUGGGACCUGAAUUAGUUCGGUCUACUAAUGAGGCUAUUCAAAAGAUUAGAGCACGUAUGCAAACAGCGCAGAGUAGACAGAAGAGUUAUGCGGAUGUACGACGAAAAGACCUUAAGUUCGAUGUGGGAGAAAAGGUAUUCUUGAAGGUAGCACCUAUGAAGGGUGUUAUGCGUUUUGAGAAGAAAGGAAAGUUAAGUCCUCGUUUUGUUGGACCAUUUGAGAUCUUAGAGAGGGUUGGUGUUGUGGCGUAUCGCUUGGCAUUACCACCAUCUCUCUCUGCAGUUCAUAAUGUUUUCCAUGUUUCGAUGUUGAGGAAGUAUGUGGCCGAUACAUCUCAUGUAGUGGACUAUGAACCCUUGGAGAUUGAUGACCAUUUGAGCUAUGUAGAACAACCUGUGGAGAUUCUGGCUAGAGAGGUAAAGAUGCUUCGUAAUAGAAGCAUUCCAUUAGUAAAGGUUUUGUGGCAGAAUCAUCGAAUUGAAGAGGCGACAUGGGAGCGAGAAGAAGAGAUGAGGACUCGUUAUCCAGAGUUAUUUCAGGAUUAGAACUUUCGAGGACGAAAGUUUCUUAAGGAGGGAAGAAUGUAAUGCCCAAAGAAAAGGUAAAUAUAUAUAUAUAUAUAUAUAUAUAUAUAUAUAUAUAUAUAUAUAUAUAUAUAUAUAUUAUUUUAAUAUUAAAAAAAAUUCUUUAUUAUUUUUCUUUUCUUCUUUUUCUUUUUCUUUUCUUUUCUCCCUUCUUCUUCUGCGUGCGCGCCGAUCCCUUCCCCCUUCUCUCCCGUUCGCAAACUGUCGCCUCCCUUCCCUUCCGUUUUUCUUUCCGCCGCAACCACCACCUCUAUCUUCUUCUUCCCGUCCCGCCGCAGCCAACCGCAGCCAGCCGCCGAUCCUUUCCUUCCAUUUUCUUCUUCCGUCCGCAGCCCCGCCGCGAAGCAAGACCGCGCCGCUGCCAGUCCAAAUCUGCGGCGCCGUUGCUCUUUCGCCGCUGCCCAACCGUCUCAGCCGGUUCUGUCUCUGUCGAAGCCACGGUUCUGCAACCGUCUCUGCCGUCUCUAUCUCCGUCCGCGAGGCAAGUCGCACGCCUCAGUCACGAACAGCCUCGCCGAUGCAGGUCACGCCGCAUUGCACGAAGUCGGCUACGUUGCCGGGCUACUCCCGUCCGCGCGUAACUGCUGUUGAACGUCCGAACCGUUCUGCCUUCGUCGAUACCCGCUGUCCCAUUUACGAAUCGCGGACCAGUUCGAGUGCAAAAGUGUUUUGCACGAUGUCUUUUGUGUAGAUCCUGCGGCAACUUCUAUUUAACGUCGAUUGUCAAAGUCUUGUUACAAGAUAUUGGUAAGGAUGAGAUUGUUCGGUAAUAAGGUCUUACAUUUGUAAAUACAUUAAGAUGUGAUGUUGUUUAAUUGGUUGAAUUGAUCUUUGUUCUUGAAGGCGACAUCGGUGAUUUGGAGUUAGUGUCCUUGAGUUACGCCUUAAGCUUUGUUGGAGUUCAAUUCUUUACUCUUGGGGUUUGUUUGUUGAAGUUAGUUCGACUAAGGAAUUUUACAUAAAGAUCCAGGUAAGGGAUUUUCUACUGGACUCAAUUGUGAUUGUGAACUGUAUGUGUGUUGAAUGUAUACUGUGGGCUGACUGAAAAUAUAUAUGAAUGUAUAUGAAUUGAAGUAGACUUGACGUCGAAUGUAUGUCGUGAUUGUCAUGGAAUCUAUAUAUAAAUGUGUGUAUGUGGACAGGACGGAGAUUAUAGAUUGUGUUUGUAUGAGAUUCUCGUUUAGAUUGGGUGUAUGAUUACGCUAAAGUAUGACUGUGUGCUGGUGAACUGAGGGGUGCAUUGACUGUAUAGUGGAUUGACUGAUGUAUUAGCAUAUUAUUGACAGACAUAUGACUGUAGUAAAAUAAGUUGACUGUUAGGAUGUUGAAAGAAAGAACUUUGUGACUUGAAGUAACUGAAAGAUGGGUUGAAUGGAAUGAGGGGAUAAAUUGUUAGAUUGUAUUGGGAUGUUUACCUUGUAGGUGUCCCACGGGAUCACCAAUUUAUUGUGCACCUUCGGGAGCAUUUGACUGAUAUGUGUUUCUGCAGAACACUAGACUGAUAUGUUCGUCCCUCGGGGCGUUAGACUGAUAUGUACGUCCCUCGGGGCGUUAGACUGAGAUGUGUAUCCUACGGGAUCACCAGACUGCGACUGUACAGGGUGUUCCAAUAGAACUUUAACAAUUUAUUUUCCCCUGACGAGACCAGUAGAGGGUCUCUUACUGAGUAUUUAAAAUACUCACCCUUCUUAUGUUUAAUUUUCAGGCAAAGGUAAUAAAGGCGGCAAACAGGCGAGGGGCAGGAAGGAAGCGUGAUGCCAUAGGAAACGUGUUUUUGCUUCCGCUUAUGGGUUCUUGUGAGGUUUAAAAUGAAUUGAAAUUUAGUUUACAAACGUUUGUUGUAAAUAGUACUAUUUUAUGUUUUCUUGAAUGUUUAAAAAUCAGGCAUGACUUGAAGAUGUUUUUUUUUAUUUGUUUACGUUUUGUUUUAU